Molecule: ribosomal RNA, 468 nt
Filed under: uncultured bacterium
Lineage: Bacteria
Description: partial 16S ribosomal RNA
Rfam family: Bacterial small subunit ribosomal RNA
Source: RNAcentral
CCCUCCCUCUUUCUUCGUGCUUAACACAUGCAAGUCGAACGGAAAGGCCCUGCUUUUGUGGGGUGCUCGAGUGGCGAACGGGUGAGUAACACGUGAGUAACCUGCCCUUGACUUUGGGAUAACUUCAGGAAACUGGGGCUAAUACCGGAUAGGAGCUCCUGCUGCAUGGUGGGGGUUGGAAAGUUUCGGCGGUUGGGGAUGGACUCGCGGCUUAUCAGCUUGUUGGUGGGGUAGUGGCUUACCAAGGCUUUGACGGGUAGCCGGCCUGAGAGGGUGACCGGCCACAUUGGGACUGAGAUACGGCCCAGACUCCUACGGGAGGCAGCAGUGGGGAAUAUUGCACAAUGGGCGGAAGCCUGAUGCAGCAACGCCGCGUGCGGGAUGACGGCCUUCGGGUUGUAAACCGCUUUCGCCUGUGACGAAGCGUGAGUGACGGUAAUGGGUAAAGAAGCACCGGCUAACUACGUG